This 253-nucleotide ribosomal RNA is filed under the name Bacteroides stercoris ATCC 43183. Its description in RNAcentral is "partial 16S ribosomal RNA". It matches the Rfam family "Bacterial small subunit ribosomal RNA", at positions 524 to 776 of the family's 1533-position model. The record is from RNAcentral. Lineage: Bacteria; Pseudomonadati; Bacteroidota; Bacteroidia; Bacteroidales; Bacteroidaceae.
UACGGAGGAUCCGAGCGUUAUCCGGAUUUAUUGGGUUUAAAGGGAGCGUAGGCGGGUUGUUAAGUCAGUUGUGAAAGUUUGCGGCUCAACCGUAAAAUUGCAGUUGAUACUGGCGAUCUUGAGUGCAACAGAGGUAGGCGGAAUUCGUGGUGUAGCGGUGAAAUGCUUAGAUAUCACGAAGAACUCCGAUUGCGAAGGCAGCUUACUGGAUUGUAACUGACGCUGAUGCUCGAAAGUGUGGGUAUCAAACAGG